GAUGAACGCUGGCGGCGUGCUUAACACAUGCAAGUCGAACGGAAAGGCUCCUGCUUGCAGGGGUACUCGAGUGGCGAACGGGUGAGUAACACGUGGGUGAUCUGCCCUGCACUUCGGGAUAAGCCUGGGAAACUGGGUCUAAUACCGGAUAGGACGAUGGUUUGGAUGCCAUUGUGGAAAGUUUUUCGGUGUGGGUUGAGCUCGCGGCCUAUCAGCUUGUUGGUGGGGUAAUGGCCUACCAAGGCGUCGACGGGUAGCCGGCCUGAGAGGGUGGACGGCCACAGGGGGACGGAGAGACGGGGCAGAGGCCGACGGGAGGCAGCAGGGGGGAAGAGUGCAGAAGGGGGGGAGGGGGGAGGCAGCGACGCCGCGUGGGGGAUGACGGCCUGCGGGGGGUAAGCGCCGGGAGAAAGAGAGGAAGCCACGUGGUUGGAAGGGUGGGGAAGGGAGUGGGAGAAGAAGCAACGGCUAACUACGGG
RNAcentral lists this ribosomal RNA (479 nucleotides) under uncultured bacterium. RNAcentral's name for it is "partial 16S ribosomal RNA". It matches the Rfam family "Bacterial small subunit ribosomal RNA", at positions 28 to 507 of the family's 1533-position model. The record is from RNAcentral.